AGCUUUGCUCAGAGGCAAUAUUGCAGCCAAUGAAGUUAAUCUGAGGCACAAUUAUUGCUAAUCGAAAGACAUUUAUUUUGGCUCCUGGUUCUGGAGACUGGGAAGUCCAAGAGCACAGUGCAGCACUGCU
Cavia aperea (Brazilian guinea pig) is the source of this 130-nucleotide small nuclear RNA. Its record names the gene U4. It matches the Rfam family "U4 spliceosomal RNA". From Rfam's summary of the family: U4 small nuclear RNA (U4 snRNA) is a component of the major U2-dependent spliceosome. The structure of U4 snRNA from yeast and human has been reported. Lineage: Eukaryota; Metazoa; Chordata; Mammalia; Rodentia; Caviidae. The record is from Ensembl.